Non-coding RNA from Armillaria nabsnona, 92 nucleotides. The record is from the annotation of a GenBank genome assembly. NCBI's taxonomy places the organism in Eukaryota, Fungi, Basidiomycota, Agaricomycetes, Agaricales, Physalacriaceae.
GCCUGCCUAGCUCAAUCGGAUAGAGCGUCAGACUCUUACGAUUCCUGAGUUUGGUGAUCUGAAGGCUGCGAGUUCGACCCUCGCGGUGGGCU